CAAGUCGGACGGGAUUGAGGAGCUUGCUUCUCAUGAGAGUGGCGCACGGGUGCGUAACACGNUAUGUAACCUACCUUAGAUCAGGGGGAUAGCUCACUCGAAAGAGAGAUUAACACCGCAUAACAUUAUGAUAUGGCAUCAUAUUAUAAUCAAAUAUUUAUAGGACCAAGAUGGGCAUGCGGAACAUUAGCUAGUUGGUNAGGUAACGGCUUACCAAGGCUACGAUGUUUAGGGGAUCUGAGAGGAUGACCCCCCACACUGGUACUGAGACACGGACCAGACUCCUACGGGAGGCAGCAGUAAGGAAUAUUGGUCAAUGGACGCAAGUCUGAACCAGCCAUGCCGCGUGCAGGAAGACGGCCCUACGGGUUGUAAACUGCUUUUGUACNGGAAUAAACCUUUCCUCGUGAGGGAAGCUGAAUGUACGGUAAGAAUAAGGAUCGGCUAACUCCGUGCCAGCAGCCGCGGUAAUACGGAGGAUCCAAGCGUUAUCCGGAUUUAUUGGGUUUAAAGGGUGCGUAGGCGGCCUAUUAAGUCAGGGGUGAAAGACGGUAGCUNAACUAUCGCAGUGCCNUUGAUACUGAUGGGCUUGAAUGUACUUGAGGUAGGCGGAAUGUGACAAGUAGCGGUGAAAUGCAUGGAUAUGUCACAGAACACCAAUUGCGAAGGCAGCUUACUAAAGUAUGAUUGACGCUGAGGCACGAAAGCGUGGGGAUCAAACAGGAUUAGAUACCCUGGUAGUC
This 743-nucleotide ribosomal RNA is filed under the name uncultured Sphingobacteriia bacterium. RNAcentral describes it as "bacterial SSU rRNA". It matches the Rfam family "Bacterial small subunit ribosomal RNA", at positions 58 to 795 of the family's 1533-position model. The record is from RNAcentral. Lineage: Bacteria; Pseudomonadati; Bacteroidota; Sphingobacteriia.